This 465-nucleotide ribosomal RNA is filed under the name Vreelandella stevensii. RNAcentral's name for it is "partial 16S ribosomal RNA". It matches the Rfam family "Bacterial small subunit ribosomal RNA", at positions 338 to 795 of the family's 1533-position model. Lineage: Bacteria; Pseudomonadati; Pseudomonadota; Gammaproteobacteria; Oceanospirillales; Halomonadaceae. The record is from RNAcentral.
CCUACGGGGGGCUGCAGUGGGGAAUAUUGGACAAUGGGGGGAACCCUGAUCCAGCCAUGCCGCGUGUGUGAAGAAGGCCCUCGGGUUGUAAAGCACUUUCAGUGAGGAAGAACGCCUGGUGGUUAAUACCCAUCAGGAAAGACAUCACUCACAGAAGAAGCACCGGCUAACUCCGUGCCAGCAGCCGCGGUAAUACAGAGGGUGCGAGCGUUAAUCGGAAUUACUGGGCGUAAAGCGCGCGUAGGUGGCUUGAUAAGCCGGUUGUGAAAGCCCCGGGCUCAACCUGGGAACGGCAUCCGGAACUGUCAAGCUAGAGUGCAGGAGAGGAAGGUAGAAUUCCCGGUGUAGCGGUGAAAUGCGUAGAGAUCGGGAGGAAUACCAGUGGCGAAGGCGGCCUUCUGGACUGACACUGACACUGAGGUGCGAAAGCGUGGGUAGCAAACAGGAUUAGAUACCCCAGUAGUC